This 470-nucleotide ribosomal RNA is filed under the name uncultured beta proteobacterium. RNAcentral describes it as "bacterial SSU rRNA". It matches the Rfam family "Bacterial small subunit ribosomal RNA", at positions 198 to 650 of the family's 1533-position model. The record is from RNAcentral. Lineage: Bacteria; Pseudomonadati; Pseudomonadota; Betaproteobacteria.
GGAGGAAAGCAGGGGAUCGCAAGACCUUGCGCUCAUUGAGCGGCCGAUGCCUGAUUAGCUAGUUGGUGAGGUAAAGGCUUACCAAGGCGACGAUCAGUAGCUGGUCUGAGAGGACGACCAGCCACAGUGGGACCGAGACACGGCCCAGACUCCUACGGGAGGCAGCAGUGGGGAAUUUUGGACAAUGGGGGAAACCCUGAUCCAGCCAUGCCGCGUGAGUGAAGAAGGCCUUCGGGUUGUAAAGCUCUUUCAGCCGGAACGAAACGGUCACGGCUAAUACCUGUGACUACUGACGGUACCGGAAGAAGAAGCACCGGCUAACUACGUGCCAGCAGCCGCGGUAAUACGUAGGGUGCGAGCGUUAAUCGGAAUUACUGGGCGUAAAGCGUGCGCAGGCGGUUUUGUAAGUCAGAUGUGAAAUCCCCGGGCUUAACCUGGGAACUGCGUUUAAAAUAGGGAGCUAGAAGGGC